Molecule: ribosomal RNA, 391 nt
Filed under: uncultured Oscillatoria sp.
Lineage: Bacteria; Bacillati; Cyanobacteriota; Cyanophyceae; Oscillatoriales; Oscillatoriaceae
Description: bacterial SSU rRNA
Rfam family: Bacterial small subunit ribosomal RNA
Source: RNAcentral
CGAAAGCCUGACGGAGCAAGACCGCGUGGGGGAAGAAGUCUCUUGGGUUGUAAACCCCUUUUCUCUGGGAAGAAAGUUGUGAAAGCAACCUGGCGGUACCAGAGGAAUCAGCAUCGGCUAACUCCGUGCCAGCAGCCGCGGUAAGACGGAGGAUGCAAGCGUUAUCCGGAAUGAUUGGGCGUAAAGCGUCCGCAGGUGGCAGUUCAAGUCUGCUGUCAAAGACCGGGGCUUAACUUCGGAAAGGCAGUGGAAACUGAACAGCUAGAGUAUGGUAGGGGCAGAGGGAAUUCCUGGUGUAGCGGUGAAAUGCGUAGAGAUCAGGAAGAACAUCGGUGGCGAAGGCGCUCUGCUGGACCAUAACUGACACUCAGGGACGAAAGCUAGGGGAGCG